CCGUGGGUCCCGUGCGAUACAGGCCCAUGAACCCCGUCAGGUCCGGAAGGAAGCAGCGGUAAGUGGUCACCCGUAGGUGCCGCGGGAGAGCCUGCGCCGG
RNAcentral lists this signal recognition particle RNA (100 nucleotides) under Fastidiosipila sp. RNAcentral's name for it is "signal recognition particle sRNA small type". It matches the Rfam family "Bacterial small signal recognition particle RNA". Rfam says of the family: The signal recognition particle (SRP) is a universally conserved ribonucleoprotein involved in the co-translational targeting of proteins to membranes. The record is from RNAcentral. Lineage: Bacteria; Bacillati; Bacillota; Clostridia; Eubacteriales; Oscillospiraceae.